GCCACUGUGCAGUGGCAUUAUCAUAGCCCAUGAGGUUUAACGAAGGUGUGAUUAUUGCUGUUUGUAUACCAAUGGCAGAAACCUCAGAAGUAAAAAGGGGGAAUUAGAAUACUUGGCUUCAAG
This 123-nucleotide small nuclear RNA is filed under the name Sphenodon punctatus (tuatara). RNAcentral's name for it is "U4 spliceosomal RNA (ENSSPUG00000014916.1)". It matches the Rfam family "U4 spliceosomal RNA". From Rfam's summary of the family: U4 small nuclear RNA (U4 snRNA) is a component of the major U2-dependent spliceosome. The structure of U4 snRNA from yeast and human has been reported. Lineage: Eukaryota; Metazoa; Chordata; Lepidosauria; Sphenodontia; Sphenodontidae. The record is from Rfam by way of RNAcentral.